CCUACGGGUGGCAGCAGUGAGGAAUAUUGGUCAAUGGGUGCGAGCCUGAACCAGCCAAGUCGCGUGAGGGAAGACGGUCCUAUGGAUUGUAAACUGCUUUUGUACGGGAAUAACGCGCCUUACGUGUAGGGCUUUGCAUGUACCGUAUGAAUAAGGACCGGCUAAUUCCGUGCCAGCAGCCGCGGUAAUACGGAAGGUCCGGGCGUUAUCCGGAUUUAUUGGGUUUAAAGGGAGCGUAGGCCGCAUGUCAAGCGUGCUGUGAAAUGUCCGGGCUCAACCCGGGCCUUGCAGCGCGAACUGGCGUGCUUGAGUCCGCGGAAAGCAGGCGGAAUGCGUCGUGUAGCGGUGAAAUGCUUAGAUAUGACGAAGAACCCCGAUUGCGAAGGCAGCUUGCUGCAGCGGAACUGACGCUGAUGCUCGAAAGCGCGGGUAUCGAACAGGAUUAGAUACCCGAGUAGUC
Molecule: ribosomal RNA, 460 nt
Filed under: uncultured bacterium
Lineage: Bacteria
Description: partial 16S ribosomal RNA
Rfam family: Bacterial small subunit ribosomal RNA
Source: RNAcentral